Long non-coding RNA from Heterocephalus glaber (naked mole-rat), 2972 nucleotides. The record is from Ensembl. NCBI's taxonomy places the organism in Eukaryota, Metazoa, Chordata, Mammalia, Rodentia, Bathyergidae.
GCUCAGUAGUAUAGCACUUGCCUAGCAUGUGUGAAACCAGGGAUUCCAUACCCAACACCACGAAAGUUAAAAAAAGAAAAUUAAAAAUGCAGUUUAAAAAGCAAAACCUCUUGAAAUGUGCUUUUUGCACAGAGGCUAAAAUAAUAUGGAGAAAUCACUGAAGAUGAAAAAAAGAUUAAGUGCAACAGCUAUGAAUUUUUUUUUUUUUUUGGUACUGGGGAUCGAACUCGGGUCCUUGCGCUUGCAGAGCAGGCAGCAAAACCACUGAGCUAAAUCCCCAGCCCUACAGCUAUGAAUUUUAAAGUCAUAACUACAUGUACAUAAUCUCCUAGACAAAGACACACUGGAAUUUGAUACAUUUAGUGUUCCUCUGCGUUGGUAUCAUGGGUUCCCCGGAAAUAAAGGGCCCUCAGUUUACCAAGCUGUUUUUCAGCAGCUGCUGCUAACAUCAAUGUCUUACUUUCUCAUUGCUGAGAUAAAAAACCCUACCCCCACAACUGCAAGGAGAACACGUUUAUUUUGGCUCUCGGUUGGAGGGGUUUCAAUCCAUAGCCGGCUGGCUCCAAGGCCGGUGACCUGGCAGAGGGGCACAGCAGAGGAGAAAGAGCUCAGGGUAUGGCAGCAGGAAGCAGAGAGAGAUCAAGGGAAGAGGAAAGGACAUAUACCCUUCUAGGCCACGCCCUCAGUGACCCACCAUCCUCAAACAGGCAACUCCCCAUGUCAUAUUUAGCUAUCAGCUCAUCUGUGGAUGAUCCAAUCACCUCCCAAAAGCCCCCACCUAUGAGCACAAGGAGACUUUCAGGGGAACCCUUAGAUACAAACUGACACAGGAAGAGCUGGGCCCCAGCCAGGGAACAUUUCCCUUUCAGGAGCCUCUGAGCAUCCACAGCCUCUCCAGAGCCUUAGCUCAACCAGGGUGACAAACACACCCUGCUGAGCCUUCCCACGUGACAUCAGCUAUCAAUGCCUGAUUCCAGCACUACUGCAAGUGUGAGUAGCUUCCUCAAAAUUUUUGAAAUUUUAAAGUCUUUGACAUGAACAAGAUAUCAAGAUGCAAGAGGCAGCCAAGAAUGAUGUCAAAGCUUGAUGAGCUUGAUGUCAAAGCUCAGGGUGUGGCUCAGUGGUAGAGCACUUUCCUAGCAUGCAGGAGGCCCUGUGUUCCAUCCCCGACAUUGAAAAAAAAAAAGUCACGGAUCAGCUAUAAAGCAUACUAAUGAAGCAUAGCCACCCAGCAAUGACAAAACAAUGUUUCAUAAUAUUGAAGGUCCUUAGAGCCAUUAACCCCUCUGCUUGUAUCUCUUGUCUCUCCCCCUCACCCCAGUAACCAGUAUCCUAAAUGUUUAGGAUCAUCUUUAUGGAGGAUUUCUUUAUAAAUUUACCAUGUAUGUAUAUAUCUUUAUAUACUGUCACUUAGCUUUUCUUGUCUGUUAACUUUUUUGGGGGGGGUACCAGGCAUGGAACUCAGGUCCUUGUGCUUGCAAGGCAGGUGGCGGAUCCACUGAGCUAAAUCCCCAGCCCAGUCUGUUAACUUUUUGAAAAAAAAAUUUUUUUUACUUUACAUGUUCUUUUUUUUUUUUUUUUUUUUAAUACCGACUAAGGCAGGACAGAGGUGGAACUUCUGUCUGGAAGCACAUGGCCUGGAAGACAGAGGGACAGAGGGAAAAAGCCUAACUCAAACUGAGCUCAACCAAUGUCUGCAAUCUUGAACAAAGGACCUUCAACUCUCUGAUCCUUCAUUUUCUCAUCUGCAAAUGAGGAUGAUACCCCCUUCCUAAGGUUCUGGUGAGGACUGAAUUGUAUCAACACUGGAUAUGCCACCCUCCCCCUAGUCUCUUAGCCUUCUUAUUUAUCAGAUUGAUUAUCAUGGUAUCACAGUGGUUAUUAUCCUUAUUUUAUUAAUAGUGGCCAAAAGUUCAAGGACAGUGAUACAAAGGAAGCAUCAGAGCAUAGAUGAUGGAAAGACAGAUUAAUUUGAUGCUAUGUGACAAUGCUGCAGGGCACUUAAGAAAAAACAUAUCUACAUAGUGUCAAAACUUCCUGAAGUUUUUGACAUCAACCUGGGGUCUUGGAAUGUAUUUCUCCGGGUAAAGGGUAACUGUUGUAUACUAAAAUUAAAAUUAUAAGUGGGCAGUUGGAUUCCUAUUUUUGUAUUUGUAUUACAAUUUUUGUAGUUUUUGUAUUUUUCUCUUUUGAAGGAUGGGUGCUAGGGACUGAAUCAGGACCUUGCCCAUGCUAAGCACAUACUCUACCACUAAGCCACACCCCCAGCCCUGUAUUUUCCAAAUUUUUGAUAAUGAGUUUUACUCCUGAGAUGAGAAUGAAAACAAUUUGGGGGGGGGCGAGUACCAGGGAUAGAACUCGGAUCCUUGCACUUGCACAGCAGGCAGAGAAAGCACUGAGCUAAAUCCCCGGCCCGAAAACAAUUUUAAUAUUAUUUCAAGAAACCGAAAUGGAUUCAGUCAUUCAUAAAUGCUUGCAAAGCCCAAUUUCAGAUCACAAGUGGGCCAGGGAUUUAGCUCAGUGGUUCCGUUGCUUGCCUUGCAAGCACAAGGACUGGAGUUCGAUCCCUGGUACCAAAAAAAAAAAAACCAGCAGAUCACAAGUGUAGAUGUUGAAGUAGAGAACCAAGGUCUCUGUCAUUACGGAUUAAAGAGUAGGGGGAGGAAGGAGGAAGGGGAGAACCAAGCAGGCAAGCAGGAAACAGGAGGCUUCCCAGCUUGGCCAGAGGAUCCUAGGAAUGCAGGCCCAAGGAAACCUGAGGGUUGAUGGCUGAGGGACAAUAGCCUCAGGCUGCAGAGGAAGGCAUGGACCAGAUCACAGGCCUUUUGUGCAUGACCUUCUAAGUGAGCCUCGAAACUGCUGGACAGGUCUGGGGCAGAGAUUGACCGGUAGAUGCAGGGAUCGAACUCGAGUCCUUGCACUUGCACAGCAGGGGAUGAAACCACUGAGCUAAAUCCCCGGCCCUCUCAGAG